ACUUGUAUAACAGUUUGGUGGAGAAAAGUUGGAAAUAAUGGAGUCAUGGCUCAUCAUCCUCAUCAUGAUCAUCACUUUCAUCUUCUUUUUCUUCCUCAAAUCCAAUAAAUAGAAGAUCAACAAGAAAUUUCCACCAGGACCCUUUGCUUUUUCUGUAAUUACCAGCUUACUACGCGUUAAUGCCAAUAUAGAACUCAUCCUCAAGGACCUCAAGACUAAAUAUGGUCCUCUCUUCAACUUAAGAAUUGGAAUUGGAUUUCGUCGUCCUUCCAUAUUUGUUGCUAGUCACUCAUUAGCCUAUCAAGCUUUAGUCCAGCAAGGUGCUGUUUUCUCUGACCGGCCAAAGGCCAAUCAGACCAGUGUCACCUUUCAUAGUAGCCGAAUUAACAUCUCCAUCUCUUCAUAUGGCCCCUUAUGGCGCCUCUUCCGUCGAAACAUUGUCUCUGAAAUCCUCCACUCUUCUCGAACCAAGUGCUACUCUAAGGUUCGAUCGCGGGUACUCACUUUCCUUAUUCAACAGCUUCGUUCUAAUUCUGCAGCCAUGGAAGUGAUCAGGUUGAUUGAUCAUUUUUGUUAUGCCAUGUUCUAUCUUCUUGUCCUGAUGUGUUUCGGGGACAAGAUCCAGGAGCAUCAAGUCAAACAGAUCCAAGAUGUACAACGAAGAUGGCUUCAAAGUGCCGGUCUAUUCAUCAAUCUCAGCUUCUUCCCAAGAUCAGUUCAAAAGAUCAUUUUCAGGAAUCAGUGGAAGGAGCUCAUCCAAAUGAUACAAGAGCAAGAGAAUAUAUUUAUACCUCUGAUCGAGGCUCGAAAGAAAGCAAAAACUGAGGAAGAUGUGGUGACUUAUGCGGAGACCUUGAUGAAUUUGGAAUUCCCUGAGAAAAAGAGGAAGUUUAAUCGGGGAGAGAUUGUUAGCCUCUGCAGUGAUUUCCUCACCGCUGGCACUGAUACUACCACUAUCUCGUUGCAAUGGAUUAUGGCUAACUUGGUAAAAUACCCUUCUAUUCAGGAAAAACUAUACCAAGAGAUAUGUGAGGUAGUGACCAGAGGGAAUUUGAAGCCAAAAGAAGCGACAGGGAAGGAGGUAGUGAAAGAGGAAGAUCUAGAGACUAUGCCUUACCUAAAAGCAGUGAUCUUAGAAGGUCUAAGGCGGCAUUCGCCAGGUCACUUCCUGCAGCCACACACAGUGACCAAGGAAGUGGAGCUCAACGGUUAUGUCAUCUCUAAGGAUGUAGCAAUCAAUUUCAUGGUUGCAGAUAUGGGUUUGGAUCCACAAGUGUGGGCGAAUCCCUUGGAUUUCAAUCCCGAUAGGUUCUUAUCAGUGGGCGGUGAUGAUACAAAAGCGUUUGAUAUAACAGGUGUUAGAGAGAUCAAGAUGAUGCCUUUUGGUGCAGGGAGAAGAGUAUGUCCAGCCUAUGGCUUGGCUAUGGUCCAUUUAGAGUACUUUGUGGCUAAUUUGAUCUGGCAUUUUGAGUGGAAGGCUGUUGAUGGUAACAAUGUUGAUCUAUCUGAGAAGCUGGAAUUCACCGUUAUGAUGAAGAAUCCAUUAUGUGCUCGCAUCCGUCCCAGAGUAAAUCAACUUGAAUGAGCUAGCUGCUAAUGAUGUGUAUUUGUUUGUUUUUCUUUCUCUUGAAGUUGUUGAUGUUUCUUCAAUAUAAAAUAAAGGAACAGGAGGAAGGGAACUCAAAGUACUCAACUGUUCAACUGUUUAUAAGAUUGGCUUUUGGAGGUGUUU
Molecule: RNA transcript, 1732 nt
Organism: Solanum dulcamara
Lineage: Eukaryota; Viridiplantae; Streptophyta; Magnoliopsida; Solanales; Solanaceae
Gene name: cytochrome P450 89A2-like
Exons: 1
Source: RefSeq, a predicted model, not a curated record